GUGAAUCAUCGAAUCUUUGAACGCACCUUGCGCUCCUUGGUAUUCCGAGGAGCAUGCCUGUUUGAGUGUCAUGGAAUUCUCAACUCUAUUUGCUUUUGUGAAUAGAGCUUGGACUUGGAGGUUUAUUGCCGGUACCUGUGAUCGGCUCCUCUUGAAUGCAUUAGCUCGAACCUUUUGUGGAUCAGCUUAUCGGUGUGAUAAAAUGUCUACGCCGUUACUGUGAAGCAUAUUAUUCGGCUUCCAAUCGUCCUUCACGGGACAAUAACUUUGACCUUUGACCUCAAAUCAGGUAGGAUUACCCGCUGAACUUAA
RNAcentral lists this ribosomal RNA (312 nucleotides) under uncultured fungus. Its description in RNAcentral is "eukaryotic LSU rRNA". The stretch from base 1 to 71 matches the Rfam family "5.8S ribosomal RNA", at positions 84 to 154 of the family's 154-position model. The record is from RNAcentral. Lineage: Eukaryota; Fungi.